Molecule: long non-coding RNA, 1296 nt
Organism: Hippopotamus amphibius kiboko
Lineage: Eukaryota; Metazoa; Chordata; Mammalia; Artiodactyla; Hippopotamidae
Exons: 3
Source: RefSeq, a predicted model, not a curated record
GCGCAAGGCCCUUUCGCCAUAGAGCGCGCGGAGGACAAGGUGACCAGAGGGCCCCCUGGCGGCGCCCUUCCUAGAAUGAGCCAAUGGGGAAGGCGAAAAGGGGCGCGCGGGCGAAAAAGGCCCGGCGUGGCCGGGGCUCCCAAAGUUCCGUGUUCCGAGCGGCCGAAGUUUCCCGGGGUCUUAAAGUGGGAUUUCCUUGCCGUCUUCUCUGGUUGUUGUGUCUCCAGCUCCUAGGACAGUGCCUGGCACUUACUGUGUGUCCAGUGAGUAUUUGUUACACGUAUGAAGGAAAGAAUGAAUCGAGGGAGACUCAUUGUGGCUGAAACGGAGGAUGUGAAGUGGAGUGUCGUCUGAGAUGAGGCAGCACUCAGACCCCGCAGAGACUGGAGUCCAAGAGAAUUAUAUGAACAGAAGCAUUGCCAGCAUGACCUGAAAGGGACAGAGAUGGUACAAAAUCAAAACAGACCUCUGGACCAUCAAAGUUCUGUAAGAAGGAAGCAGGUUAUGAACACCACUCAGCUGCAAAUACUUGCUACCAUUUUAUGAAAAAGAAAGGAAGACUCAGAGAGAAUUGCCAAGAGCUCAGAGAGUGGAGCCACGAACCAUGGAGAAAAAUUCCUGGGAAGUAGUAGGAAUGAGUUCUGACCAAGGAACUUUUGACAUCUGCCCAACUGAAUUUCAAAACUGCUGCAGACCAGUGAUACCCGUGUGUUCUCCUCCCCCCACUUUUUUUGAACAGGAAUAUUUUGGCGGUUAUUCUGUGCCUGUCCUAUCACUGGGUGUUGGGCAGGUGGGUGGCAGACAACCUGUCUCUUUAGUUCGCAGACCAACAGAUGGAGAGGAACUGUAUUCAAGGUGCUUUGCCACACCCAGACCUGACUGAGAUGAUGAGAUUCUGCACGUAAAAUUGAUGCUGUAAUGGGAAGAGACUUUGGGGGUACUAAGGUGGGGGUGUGUGUACUUUGUGUGAGGGAGAGACAUGAAUCAUUGGGGGUCCCAGUGAUCCAUGCCUUUCCUUUUGGUGUUCCCACUUGUUUGUGGUUGCCUUCCACAUUGUACCAGGGUUGGUCUGUAUGACCAAUACAAUACAGCGGAAGUAAUGGUAUGUCACUUCUGAGAUGAGGUUAUAAAAGACCAUAUCUUCUGUCUUAGAUUCACUCUGUCUCUUGGAUCACUUGCCUUGGGGGAAGCCAGCUGCCAUGUCGUAAGGAUGCUUAGGCAGCCUCUGCACAGGCCCACAUGGUGAGGAACUGAGGCCUCCAGCCAAAGCCAGCGAGGGACUGAGGCGUGCCCACA